UAGGGAAUCUUCGGCAAUGGGGGGAACCCUGACCGAGCAACGCCGCGUGAGUGAAGAAGGUUUUCGGAUCGUAAAGCUCUGUUGUUAAGGAAGAACGAGUGUGAGAAUGGAAAGUUCAUGCUGUGACGGUACUUAACCAGAAAGGGACGGCUAACUACGUGCCAGCAGCCGCGGUAAUACGUUGGUCCCGAGCGUUGUCCGGAUUUAUUGGGCGUAAAGCGAGCGCAGGCGGUUAGAAAAGUCUGAAGUGAAAGGCAGUGGCUCAACCAUUGUAGGCUUUGGAAACUGUUUAACUUGAGUGCAGAAGGGGAGAGUGGAAUUCCAUGUGUAGCGGUGAAAUGCGUAGAUAUAUGGAGGAACACCGGUGGCGAAAGCGGCUCUCUGGUCUGUAACUGACGCUGAGGCUCGAAAGCGUGGGGAGCGAACAGG
RNAcentral lists this ribosomal RNA (429 nucleotides) under Bacteroidota bacterium. Its description in RNAcentral is "Bacteroidetes bacterium partial 16S ribosomal RNA". It matches the Rfam family "Bacterial small subunit ribosomal RNA", at positions 355 to 776 of the family's 1533-position model. The record is from RNAcentral. Lineage: Bacteria; Pseudomonadati; Bacteroidota.